RNAcentral lists this long non-coding RNA (455 nucleotides) under Mytilus galloprovincialis (Mediterranean mussel). Lineage: Eukaryota; Metazoa; Mollusca; Bivalvia; Mytilida; Mytilidae. The record is from RNAcentral.
GAUGAUUGUUUAGAACGCUAAAUUUCUGCAAUCGUAUAUUGAUAGAAACGGAGUGUUGUUGUCGUUCAGACAUUGUUAGCUUACAUACAAAAACUUGAUUAUAAGUGUACCAUUGUGUACGGAUAUCUCUGAAAUUGUUCCACAAGGUUCUAUACCAGGAAAAAAGGUUAGGGUUGAUUAUGGGUGUUGUUGUAUUAAUGGUUUAGAAAAAAGGGGUUAAUAGAAAGGUUUCUUUUGUUUCGGGACAAUAACUUGUGUAAUUUUGCGUUUCUUUAUUUAAUUGUUCCUUCACUCCAAAAAGAAAAUUAUAAUUUCUUUAGAAUUAUGAUAAAACCGUAUAGGAAUAGGGGGACAAAAAGGUGUAAAUGAAUUAAGAAUAUUUUCAAGAUAAUAACUUGUGUAUAAGUCUAUGGAUCAAUAUGAAAUUGCACAAUAAAGUUCCAUACCACAGAAGG